GUUAUAUGGUCAAGCGAAUAAGCGCACACGGUGGAUGCCUUGGCGGUCAGAGGCGAUGAAGGACGUGGCAGCCUGCGAAAAGUAUCGGGGAGCUGGCAACAAGCUUUGAUCCGGUAAUGUCCGAAUGGGGAAACCCACCCGCUUGCGGGUAUCCUGCAGUGAAUACAUAGCUGCUGGAAGCGAACCUGGUGAACUGAAAUAUCUAAGUAACCAGAGGAAAAGAAAUCAACCGAGAUUCCGUAAGUAGCGACGAGCGAACGCGGACUAGCCCUUAAGCUGAUUUGGUUCUAGGAAAACGCUCUGGAAAGAGUGGCCAUAGAAGGUGAUAGCCCUGUAUCUGAAAGGGCCAUUUCAGUGAAGACGAGUAGGGCGGGGCACGUGAAACCCUGUCUGAACAUGGGGGGACCAUCCUCCAAGGCUAAAUACUACUGACCGACCGAUAGUGAACCAGUACCGUGAGGGAAAGGCGAAAAGAACCCCGGAGAGGGGAGUGAAAUAGAACCUGAAACCGUGUGCGUACAAGCAGUAGGAGCUCCGCAAGGAGUGACUGCGUACCUUUUGUAUAAUGGGUCAGCGACUUACUGUUCGUGGCAAGCUUAACCGUAUAGGGGAGGCGAAGGGAAACCGAGUCUGAUAAGGGCGCAUAGUCGCGGGCAGUAGACCCGAAACCGGGUGAUCUAGUCAUGCCCAGGGUGAAGGUGCGGUAACACGCACUGGAGGCCCGAACCCACUCCCGUUGCAAAGGUAGGGGAUGAGGUGUGAUUAGGAGUGAAAAGCUAAUCGAACCCGGAGAUAGCUGGUUCUCCUCGAAAGCUAUUUAGGUAGCGCCUCAUAUGUAUCCUCUCGGGGGUAGAGCACUGUUAUGGCUAGGGGGUCAUCGCGACUUACCAAACCAUUGCAAACUCCGAAUACCGAGACGGACUGUAUGGGAGACACACGGCGGGUGCUAACGUCCGUCGUGAAAAGGGAAACAACCCAGACCCACAGCUAAGGUCCCAAAUUUUGUGCUAAGUGGAAAACCAUGUGGAAAGGCACAGACAGCCAGGAGGUUGGCUUAGAAGCAGCCACCCUUUAAAGAAAGCGUAAUAGCUCACUGGUCGAGUCGGUCUGCGGGGAAGAUUUAACGGGGCUAAGCACAGAACCGAAGCUUGGGGUGCAUACUUUGUAUGCGCGGUAGAGGAGCGUUCCGUAAGCCGUUGAAGGUGGAUUGAGAAGUCUGCUGGAGGUAUCGGAAGUGCGAAUGCUGACAUGAGUAACGAUAAUGCGGGUGAAAAACCCGCACGCCGAAAGCCCAAGGUUUCCUUGCGCAACGUUAAUCGGCGCAGGGUGAGUCGGCCCCUAAGGCGAGGACGAAAGUCGUAGUCGAUGGGAAGCAGGUUAAUAUUCCUGCACCUCGCGUAAGUGCGAUGGAGGGACGGAGAAGGUUAGGUGUACCAGGCGUUGGUUGUCCUGGGGAAAGGCGGUAGGUUUGGAUCUUUGGCAAAUCCGGGAUCCUUUAAGACCGAGCACCGAGACGAGCCUUUAUGGCAAAGUCACUGAUACCACGCUUCCAGGAAAAGCUCCUAAGCUUCAGCUUACGCAGACCGUACCGUAAACCGACACAGGUGGGUAGGAUGAGAAUUCUCAGGCGCUUGAGAGAACUCGGGUGAAGGAACUAGGCAACAUGGCACCGUAACUUCGGGAGAAGGUGCACCCUUUUUGGUGGCUCGUGCGAGCUAUAGCUGAAGAGGGUCGCAGUAACCAGGCCGCUGCGACUGUUUAUCAAAAACACAGCACUCUGCAAACACGAAAGUGGACGUAUAGGGUGUGACGCCUGCCCGGUGCUGGAAGGUUAAUUGAUGGGGUCAGCCGCAAGGCGAAGCUCUUGAUCGAAGCCCCAGUAAACGGCGGCCGUAACUAUAACGGUCCUAAGGUAGCGAAAUUCCUUGUCGGGUAAGUUCCGACCUGCACGAAUGGCGUAACGACAGCGGCGCUGUCUCCACCCGAGACUCAGUGAAAUUGAAAUCGCUGUGAAGAUGCAGCGUUCCCGUGGCAAGACGGAAAGACCCCGUGAACCUUUACUAUAGCUUUACACUGAACGUUGAGUUCGUCUGUGUAGGAUAGGUGGGAGGCUAUGAAACCAUGGCGCUAGCUGUGGUGGAGCCAUCCUUGAAAUACCACCCUGUCGUGCUUGACGUUCUAACCUGGGCCCAUUAUCUGGGUCGGGGACCGUGUAUGGUGGGUAGUUUGACUGGGGCGGUCUCCUCCUAAAGAGUAACGGAGGAGCUCGAAGGUACGCUCAGCGCGGUCGGACAUCGCGCACUGUGUGCAAAGGCAUAAGCGUGCUUGACUGCAAGAUCGACGGAUCAAGCAGGUAGGAAACUAGGACUUAGUGAUCCGGUGGUUCUGUAUGGAAGGGCCAUCGCUCAACGGAUAAAAGGUACUCCGGGGAUAACAGGCUGAUACCGCCCAAGAGUUCAUAUCGACGGCGGUGUUUGGCACCUCGAUGUCGGCUCAUCACAUCCUGGGGCUGUAGUCGGUCCCAAGGGUAUGGCUGUUCGCCAUUUAAAGUGGUACGCGAGCUGGGUUCAGAACGUCGUGAGACAGUUCGGUCCCUAUCUGCCAUGGGCGUUGGAGAUUUGAGAGGGGCUGCUCCUAGUACGAGAGGACCGGAGUGGACGAACCUCUGGUGUUCCGGUUGUCACGCCAGUGGCAUUGCCGGGUAGCUAUGUUCGGAAGCGAUAACCGCUGAAAGCAUCUAAGCGGGAAGCGCGCCUCAAGAUGAGAUCUCCCGGGGCACAAGCCCCCUGAAGGAACCAUGUAGACUACGUGGUUGAUAGGUCAGGUGUGUAAGUACAGCAAUGUAUUGAGCUAACUGAUACUAAUGAUCCGUGCGGCUUGACCAUAUAACCU
Molecule: ribosomal RNA, 2892 nt
Filed under: Stenotrophomonas maltophilia
Lineage: Bacteria; Pseudomonadati; Pseudomonadota; Gammaproteobacteria; Lysobacterales; Lysobacteraceae
Description: bacterial LSU rRNA
Rfam family: Bacterial large subunit ribosomal RNA
Source: RNAcentral